AACGAACGCUGGCGGCAUGCCUAACACAUGCAAGUCGAACGAGACCUUCGUGUCUAUUUGCGCACGUGUGCGUAACGCGUGGGAACCUACCCGUAGGUUCGGAAUAACUCCCCUAAGGGGGUGCUAAUACCGGAGAGUGUCUUCGGACCAAAGAUUUAUCGCCUUUGGAUGGGCCCUCGUUGGAUUAGCUAGUUGGUAGUGUAAAAGCAUACCAAGGCGACGAUCCUUAGCUGGUGUGAUAGCAUGCUAAGCCACACUGGGACUGAGACACGGACCAGACUCGGACGCGAGGCAGCAGUGGGGAAUAUUGGACACGGGGCGCAAGUGUGACAACGCAACGCGGCGUAAGUCAUGCAGGCCUUAGGGUUGUACAGUCCUCUUACACGGGACGAGAAUGACAGUAACGGGAGAAUAAGCACCGGCUAACUACGUG
RNAcentral lists this ribosomal RNA (433 nucleotides) under uncultured bacterium. RNAcentral's name for it is "partial 16S ribosomal RNA". It matches the Rfam family "Bacterial small subunit ribosomal RNA", at positions 29 to 507 of the family's 1533-position model. The record is from RNAcentral.